Molecule: ribosomal RNA, 305 nt
Filed under: uncultured Desulfobacteraceae bacterium
Lineage: Bacteria; Pseudomonadati; Thermodesulfobacteriota; Desulfobacteria; Desulfobacterales; Desulfobacteraceae
Description: bacterial SSU rRNA
Rfam family: Bacterial small subunit ribosomal RNA
Source: RNAcentral
UUAAGUCCCGCAACGAGCGCAACCCCUUGUCUCUAGUUACCAUCGAUUCAGUUGGGGGACUCUAGAGAUACUGCCAAGGGUUAACUUGGAGGAAGUGGGGAUGAACGUCAAGUCCUCAUGGCCUUUAUGUCCAGGGCUACACACGUGCUACAAUGGACGGUACAGAGGGUCGCAAUAUCGCGAGAUGGAGCCAAUCCCAAAAAGCCGUUCCCAGUUCGGAUUGGAGUCUGCAACUCGACUCCAUGAAGUUGGAAUCGCUAGUAAUCGCGGAUCAGCAUGCCGCGGUGAAUACGUUCCCGGGCCUU